This 522-nucleotide ribosomal RNA is filed under the name uncultured bacterium. RNAcentral's name for it is "bacterial SSU rRNA". It matches the Rfam family "Bacterial small subunit ribosomal RNA", at positions 777 to 1297 of the family's 1533-position model. The record is from RNAcentral.
AAUAGAUACCCGGGUAGUCCACGCCGUAAACGAUGAGUGCUAAGUGUUAGAGGGUUUCCGCCUUUUAGUGCUGCAGCUAACGCAUUAAGCACUCCGCCUGGGGAGUACGGCCGCAAGGCUGAAACUCAAAGGAAUUGACGGGGGCCCGCACAAGCGGUGGAGCAUGUGGUUUAAUUCGAAGCAACGCGAAGAACCUUACCAGGUCUUGACAUCCUCUGCCAACCCUAGAGAUAGGGCGUUCCCCUUCGGGGGACAGAGUGACAGGUGGUGCAUGGUUGUCGUCAGCUCGUGUCGUGAGAUGUUGGGUUAAGUCCCGCAACGAGCGCAACCCUUGAUCUUAGUUGCCAGCAUUCAGUUGGGCACUCUAAGGUGACUGCCGGUGACAAACCGGAGGAAGGUGGGGAUGAUGUCAAAUCAUCAUGCCCCUUAUGACCCGGGCUACACACGUGCUACAAUGGAUGGUACAAAGAGCUGCGAACCCGCGAGGGUAAGCCAAUCUCAUAAAGCCAUUCUCAGUUCGGA